UCCCUAGAACCCGAGAAAACACAAAAUUUUUGAAUACUCAUUCUAGUACGAGUCUAACCAUAAUAAUUUCAUCCAAUUCUGACUCCAAAUAGGAGUUCAAAUCUCACAUUUAUACUUCAGAUAUAAUUUUAUUAAAAUAUAAAAUACAUCGACAACCUCAUACCUUUUACUUACACACUCUAUCUUAAGCCAGUUACACUAGAACAUGUCAAUCAUAGCAAAACUCCUCCGUCCUCUUCUCGACGACUCCCUACUUUGUCUUAGCAAAACUCUCUGCAGCCUUCGUUUUCUUCCCGGAUCUGAUGUGACACGAGAAAGCAAAAAAUGUUUUUAGGUAUGAUAAAAAACUCUCAAAUCUAAAAUAACUUUCCUAAAUUUUCAGAUUCGAAAAGAUAUUUUCCAGCCAAAGUAACUUUCAGAUCGUUGUAACCUUUGUAAGUUGCAGAUAUUGAAAGUUUCCUCUAAAAUCCAAAAAGCUUCGUAACCCAUUAAUAACCUUUAUGAGUUGCAAUUUCCUUUGCCAUCACUCAUUUUCUCUCUUCUCUUGGCUCGCCGGAAAACUCUCUAUCACAUUCAUCGAACUGCUGUAAGUCAGGAGGAAUAGAAUAAGGGGGUGAGUGGAAUAUAUGAUUAUAUCAAUGGAGAUAUAAUGGUGUGAAUGACGAUAAAUUAAAAGAAACAUUUACAGGAAAGUAUUUCCAACAAAAACUAUUCAUUUUUGACAAGAAAGAUCAGAAGUUUAUUUUCUGGACCAUUU
This 757-nucleotide long non-coding RNA is filed under the name Nicotiana benthamiana. RNAcentral describes it as "long non-coding RNA (NBEN_LNC007428)". Lineage: Eukaryota; Viridiplantae; Streptophyta; Magnoliopsida; Solanales; Solanaceae. The record is from RNAcentral.